This 422-nucleotide ribosomal RNA is filed under the name uncultured bacterium. Its description in RNAcentral is "bacterial SSU rRNA". It matches the Rfam family "Bacterial small subunit ribosomal RNA", at positions 355 to 774 of the family's 1533-position model. The record is from RNAcentral.
UAAGGAAUAUUGGUCAAUGGAGGAAACUCUGAACCAGCCAUCCCGCGUGAAGGAUGAAGGGGCUCUGCCUUGUAAACUUCUUUUGAAUGGGACGAAAAAAGGGGAUUUAUCCUCGACUGACGGUACCAUUAGAAUAAGCACCGGCUAACUCCGUGCCAGCAGCCGCGGUAAUACGGAGGGUGCAAGCGUUAUCCGGAAUCACUGGGUUUAAAGGGUGCGUAGGCGGCUAAAUAAGUCAGUGGUGAAAGGCCGUGGCUUAACCAUGGGAUUGCCAUUGAUACUGUAUAGCUUGAAUGAGGAUGAGGUUGGCGGAAUGUGGCAUGUAGCGGUGAAAUGCUUAGAUAUGCCAUGGAACAUCGAUUGCGAAGGCAGCUGACUGGACCUGAAUUGACGCUGAGGCACGAAAGCGUGGGUAGCGAACA